Molecule: long non-coding RNA, 878 nt
Organism: Xenopus laevis (African clawed frog)
Lineage: Eukaryota; Metazoa; Chordata; Amphibia; Anura; Pipidae
Exons: 2
Source: RefSeq, a predicted model, not a curated record
CUCUAGGUAUCAACUUUAUGUCAGACCUACCCUGGUUUAGUAAGUGUUACCUUUUUUCGUUACAGUUUCUCCUCCUUUGGUCUGGAUUAUUGGACACUCUUUCGUCCACAGAGCGAGAGCUAGAGCAGAACAACGAACCUACACAACUAAUUUAGGCAUUAAAGAUGUUAGAAUUGUCUGGAUGGGCAUUCGAGGCCUUAAAUGGCCAGAUUUAUUACCAAUAAUUUUGCAAAUGAAAUCUCGUUGGGGUUUCCCAGCAAUUAUUCUGAUCCAUUUAGCUGGAAAUGACAUUGGAAAGGGUAGAAACAUUGAUUUAAUUCGUAAUAUAAAAAGAGACCUUGCUCAGAUCAGAUUUAUUUUUCCCAAUACUGUGAUAAUUUGGUCUGAAGUUGUGCCCAGAUUAGUCUGGCUUCAAGAUGCAGGCUUUCACCCCCUUGAGAGAUGCCGCAAAAAACUCAAUUUUGCUAUCUCAAAAUUUUCCAAGACAGUUAAUAUUUUGGUUUAUAGGCACUAUGAGUUGGAGCAAGGUUUUGAAGGCCUGUAUCGUGCGGACAGGGUACAUUUGUCAGAUAUCGGUUUUGACAUUCUGAACAUGGGAUUCCAAAGUGCAAUUGAAAGAGCUUUACAUGUGUGGGGAAUGGCCAAGGCCAAUGUAAUGGUUUAAUUGGCCUUGACGUGGAGGUAUGCUCCUGGCUAGGUAAAAAAAUUGGCGGGGCUUAAGGAUAUUUGUGGUCAAGCUUUAAGGCGGUCCGCUGCAGAGAUCUGAUGCAGAGGCUGGCUGGGAAGAUAUGUAUGAACAGGUAUUAGUAUCAUUAGCAAUAUUAAUGUUCUGAUUGAUAUGAUAUUUAAUAAACAACAGCUGCGGCCAUUCUCCACCA